Molecule: ribosomal RNA, 253 nt
Filed under: uncultured bacterium
Lineage: Bacteria
Description: partial 16S ribosomal RNA
Rfam family: Bacterial small subunit ribosomal RNA
Source: RNAcentral
UACGAAGGGGGCUAGCGUUGCUCGGAAUCACUGGGCGUAAAGCGCACGUAGGCGGCUUGUUAAGUCAGGGGUGAAAUCCUGGAGCUCAACUCCAGAACUGCCUUUGAUACUGGCGAGCUUGAAUCCGGGAGAGGGAUGCAGAAUUCCAGGUGUAGCGGUGAAAUGCGUAGAUAUCUGGAGGAAUACCGGUGGCGAAGGCGGCAUCCUGGACCGGCAUUGACGCUGAUGAGCGAAAGCUAGGGGAGCAAACGGG